UACGUAGGAGGCUAACGUUAUUCGGAUUUACUGGGCGUAAAGCGCGUGCAGGCGGUUCGGUAAGUUGGACGUGAAAGCUCCCGGCUCAACUGGGAGAGGUCGUUCAAUACUGCCGGGCUAGAGGAUGGUAGAGGGAGGUGGAAUUCCGGGUGUAGUGGUGAAAUGCGCAGAUAUCCGGAGGAACACCAGUGGCGAAGGCCACCUCCUGGACCAUUCCUGACGCUCAGACGCGAAAGCUAGGGUAGCGAACGGGAUUAGAUACCCCCGUAGUCCCUGAGCGGG
This 282-nucleotide ribosomal RNA is filed under the name uncultured prokaryote. RNAcentral describes it as "partial 16S ribosomal RNA". It matches the Rfam family "Bacterial small subunit ribosomal RNA", at positions 524 to 803 of the family's 1533-position model. The record is from RNAcentral.